This is a non-coding RNA of Lolium perenne, 729 nucleotides long. The record is from RefSeq and is a predicted model, not a curated record. NCBI's taxonomy places the organism in Eukaryota, Viridiplantae, Streptophyta, Magnoliopsida, Poales, Poaceae.
UGCCAGCAGAAGCGAGCAGCAACAGGAGGAGCUGACGAUACAACAUCCUCGGCCUGCCUUCUUCGCCGUUCGUCAGCACGCCUCCGCAGGAUAUGCCUCUACCGCUAGGCGAUUUCGGGGCUGCGGUGGCCGAUUUUGUGCCCGUGGGCGAUUGGUUGUUUGAGAUAGUCCCCCUCGCUGCCUCGAAUCGUCCACGGCCCGGACAAGCGGAAGGGCCGCCGCUCGUCUCGCCGCCUCGCAUCGUCGCGAGGAGCCGUCUUCGCCUCUCUUUCAGCUGCUAUGGUACGCGAAAGAUCCGCCACCCUCCUCCCAGUUUUGUCCGUCCAUGGCCUGGUCAUCCCAUUCCCCUUUAUAUAUCUCUCUCUCUCAACUGCUUGGGAGGGAAGAAGGUGUUGGUGUUCAAGAGAUGGGGAGAUGGGGUGGCUGCUGGGAUUCGUUCACCUCCAUGGCUCUGUACCAAAAAUCCCCAAACCCUAGGUUAUUUCUGCAUGUUUAGGCCAUGAAUCGUCUCCUUCUCUGAAAUGAUGUUGAUGAUUCAUCUUCACAUAUCUGUUCGUUUUUGGGACCAGACUACCAAUUCAAUAGGCCGCUAGAUGGACUGGAAACCAGAUAUACUUUCUCUGCCAUUUCAGGCCCAUUGCGUGCCUAUUGCUAUCUCCUUGUGGACACAGGCAGGGAAAUAUCCUAGGGUGCCUCUUGCUGAAUUUAUCAAUUUUAUUCUAUUUGAAA